Long non-coding RNA from Neopsephotus bourkii (Bourke's parrot), 151 nucleotides. RefSeq lists it as uncharacterized. The transcript is spliced from 3 exons. The record is from RefSeq and is a predicted model, not a curated record. NCBI's taxonomy places the organism in Eukaryota, Metazoa, Chordata, Aves, Psittaciformes, Psittacidae.
GUGUAUCAUGGGGUGUAUCUGGGGUAUUUUGGGGUGUAUUUCAGGGCUCAAGGUGUGUUUCAGGGUGUAUCUGUGGGUGUUCUGGGUGUACUUUAGGAUAUGUUGGAGUACCAGGAUGUGUUUUGAGGUGUAUUUUCCGGUGCUGUGGGGU